This 1099-nucleotide long non-coding RNA is filed under the name Struthio camelus australis. Its description in RNAcentral is "lncRNA (ENSSCUG00000004260.1)". The record is from RNAcentral. Lineage: Eukaryota; Metazoa; Chordata; Aves; Struthioniformes; Struthionidae.
ACAGACUGGCUCUUGGAUUAAGGCCUGAGGACGUUAUCCAUAGCGGGACCUGUAAGCUCACUUCUCUCAGUGAGGCGGUCUCUGGCAGAGCUGACACGAAUGAACAAGAAGAGCUGGAGUCCAUCAGCGCGGGAUCGGUUUUGCAGGCUGCCUGGUCCUUGGGACAAAGGCGCUCAGUAUGCUGCAGCGGUGCUUGGAGCCCUGCAGGACUGAAAAGCCCUUCAGAUGGUUGGAUGCAGACCCUUCCUCCAGAGCUGGACCCCACACUGCAAUACAGGAACCGGUGGCAACCCACCCAGGAGCCAGUCCUGCCUUCGCCCCUGACGUGCAGCUGCAAGGGAACAGGGACUUGCAGUAAGCCAGGGGCUGGUUCUCGCAGUCACCCCACCAGGUCUGUAGUUACACAUCCCGGCAGUUGUUGGCCAUGGACCAGGCAAUGCUGAUGGGAAAGGAGGUCUGCCAGGAUUUUCUCAAGUGGCUGGUUACCCUAGGCACUGAUGUUGUUGGCUGUCAGAUGUGCCUUGUGAGGGAGUCAACAACAGGAAGCUUGCAGGUGCAACGCUGGGCCGUAGCGUGCUGGAGUCGAGCGGUGAGCGCUUUCCUGCUCAGCCAGCCCGACGAGAGGACGGAGAAGAGAGCUUGGGGCAACCCCUUUCUGAGCCAUCCCAUCUCUGCAUUCCCGCACCCUAACCCUGAAAGAAAAAGCAGCGGUGCAGGGGGCCGGCACGGGUCCGUCCAGCGCCUGCAGGUGUGUUGGUGGGGAAGGGAAGGGUCUGUGAGCCCGUGCAGACACGGGGUGGCACACUGCGUGCACCGACUCCCAGGGUCCUAGGAAGCCGCUCAUAAGCAUUAUUUGUAAGGCCUUUCAGAGGCUAAUAAUUUGGUUAAAUCUGGAUAGAUUUUUGUGAGGAGAGUAGAAGACAUAUCCUUCAUCCUUUCGUGGACUGUACACCAAAUUUUGCACCUCUUUGUUCUAACAUAAUCCUGUUCCCACCCCAACAAAAUUGGUACAGUGGAAAAAACAUUUUUUUUCCCCUUGCCAAGCUCUUCCCUGGAAACGGCUGAAUUAAAUUUGAUCAAAGUUAUUAGCAACUAAAAC